GAUCAUGGGCGAUGGUGGUGGUGACGAAGGCGGCGGGAUGUUGUGGACGACAAUGGGUAGCAGGGGUUUGGUUUUGGAUAGGAGUAGAGGUGGGUUUGGAUGGGGAUGAGAUAUGGGUGGAAGAUGAUGAUGGUUUUUUAUUUAAUUAUUUUAAUUACUUCUAUAUGGAAAGAGAGAGUUACAAUCAUAAAUAAUUAAUAGGUCAAAAUCAUUUGCUUGGUCAAUUAUUGAAAAAGUGGAUGGAUUCCUAGAAUUUAUACCUUUGGAUUUGUGAAAUUUUUAAUGAUAAGUAGAGAAGGAAAUGCACGAUCAUGCAGCAGAAGAUGAAGUGGUGGACAGAUUUGAAGCAGCCAGUGAGAAAACGGGUGUGAAUGAAGAAAAGAUGAAUGAUAAAUCAAGAAAUGAUGAAAAUCCGAAAACAGAAAAAGUUCGCAGAAUUGUCAUUUAGGUAGUGAAAAAACUUCAUUUGAUUCCUCAGAACUGAUUUAACGUGGUUGUGAUUGCAAAGGAGAAUUGGGGCUUUUACAUAGAAAUUGUGCAGAGACCAGGUUUGGCUAGAGAGAUCUCAGAUUGUGUUAAAUAUGUGGAAACAUAGUGAACAUAACCAGCAGUUUGGAGAACACCUCAAUAUUCAUGAUGGAGAGAAAUGAGAUGAGACUCUGGUAGCAGCAACUUUAGACACUUCUCGAGAAAGUUCUUGCCAAUGUAAGAAGACUUUAUGCAACUUUCUAAUGACAUGCUUGGUACUAGCCUUUAUCUUGCCAUGGUUCUUUCGUGAUGUUAUUCUGUAGAGGAGCACUGCAUUUGAUGUUGUGGUUGGUGGGGGAGUCAUUGGUUGAUCUUUAUAAUAACUCACAAAAGAUACCAGGACGAGUUCUUUAAGGUUUCAUAUUCAACACUGUAGUAAUUUUUGUAUAUACAGAUAUUGCUUCUAUAAGAAUUGUGAUCCAGAAUAAAUUGAGAAUGGUGUCAACUGAAUCA
Olea europaea var. sylvestris is the source of this 981-nucleotide long non-coding RNA. RefSeq lists it as uncharacterized. NCBI's taxonomy places the organism in Eukaryota, Viridiplantae, Streptophyta, Magnoliopsida, Lamiales, Oleaceae. The record is from RefSeq and is a predicted model, not a curated record. The transcript is spliced from 2 exons.